GCCGGAGUAGCUCAGCUGGUAGAGCAACUGAUUCGUAAUCAGUGGGUCGGGGGUUCAAGUCCUCUCUUCGGCACCA
This 76-nucleotide transfer RNA is filed under the name Holosporales bacterium. Its description in RNAcentral is "tRNA-Thr". It matches the Rfam family "tRNA". Rfam says of the family: Transfer RNA (tRNA) molecules are approximately 80 nucleotides in length. Their secondary structure includes four short double-helical elements and three loops (D, anti-codon, and T loops). Lineage: Bacteria; Pseudomonadati; Pseudomonadota; Alphaproteobacteria; Holosporales. The record is from RNAcentral.